AACGCACGAGACCUGCGGACCUGCGGAGGGAUCAUUACCGAGUUAUCCAACUCCCAACCCCUGUGAAUUAUACCUUUAAUUGUUGCUUCGGCGGGACUUCGCGCCCGCCGGGGACCCAAACCUUCUGAAUUUUUUAAUAAGUAUCUUCUGGGUGGUUAAAAAAAUGAAUCAAAACUUUCAGCAACGGAUCUCU
RNAcentral lists this unclassified non-coding RNA (193 nucleotides) under soil metagenome. RNAcentral describes it as "partial contains 5.8S ribosomal RNA, internal transcribed spacer 2, and large subunit ribosomal RNA". The record is from RNAcentral.